GGGGAAUUAGCUCAGUGGUAGAGCACUUGCCUAGCAAGCGCAAGGCCCUGGGUUCGGUCCCCAGCUCUG
This 69-nucleotide transfer RNA is filed under the name Rattus norvegicus (Norway rat). It matches the Rfam family "tRNA". From Rfam's summary of the family: Transfer RNA (tRNA) molecules are approximately 80 nucleotides in length. Lineage: Eukaryota; Metazoa; Chordata; Mammalia; Rodentia; Muridae. The record is from Rfam by way of RNAcentral.